CCCUUCCUUCACUGCAGGUGA
Molecule: microRNA, 21 nt
Filed under: Monodelphis domestica (gray short-tailed opossum)
Lineage: Eukaryota; Metazoa; Chordata; Mammalia; Didelphimorphia; Didelphidae
Description: mdo-miR-7276-5p
Source: miRBase by way of RNAcentral